This 567-nucleotide long non-coding RNA is filed under the name Citrus sinensis (sweet orange). RNAcentral's name for it is "long non-coding RNA (CSIN_LNC005783)". Lineage: Eukaryota; Viridiplantae; Streptophyta; Magnoliopsida; Sapindales; Rutaceae. The record is from RNAcentral.
CGAACUUUGAUGACUAGAAAAUGACCAUUUGGAGUUUCGCCUCUGGUCAUACCAUGCGAUGUCUGAGGUGUUAUGUGUGAUCGUGUUAAACGCCAAAUUAUUAUAAGUUGAUACAAUGGCAAUAUUCUGCUCUAUCUACAAACCAAGACUAAUAAAUUAUACAUGACAGAAUGUUACUCUCGUAAAUUGAUCGAAUUACAUAGCUAUAUCUAAGAAUUUGUAGAAAAAUAUGUUCUUCCAAAUAUGGGUGUUAACGAGAUCGAAUACAGAGCAUCUGACAAAUGAACAAGUUGGAGGACCUCGACAUAAACAUCAAACUACAAGGAGCUAAAUACUGUUAUUGAAAUAACAAUCAUCAUAUUAUUGCAUUUGCUUCAUACUAAAUGACAAGUUAACAUCACAAGGAGACCAUGAUACUAACCGUCAGAAUUCAUAUUUGGAUUAGAUGUAUAAGCAACAGAGCCAGGUUAACAGAAGAACCUGAAAAUUAUCAUAAUAAAAGAAGCUUACCCACAAGUUAGCCGAAUAAUGAUCAUGUAAUGGUUUUUCAUGAAGCAUGACCUGUCC